GACUUGAUUUGGAUCGGAGACAUUGGCUUUGACGGCGAUUGCGCGUGGGGAAUCGGAGGUGGAAUUGAUUUGGGAUACGACGUCGUCAGCUUGAGUAGAGUUGGAAGUGUAGUUGAUGACGAGUUUAGCUCCGAGAGAGGCCAAGUGAAGAGCAAUUGCUUUGCCGAUUCCGCGAGAAGAGCCGGUAACAAUGGCUACACGAUUCCCGAGGCUUUGGCCUUGGGCUACGUUUGUUUCCGCCAUGAUCACUGAAGAAAAGCACUGAAAUUGCUAGAAAAUGGAAUUUUGUGGA
This 292-nucleotide unclassified non-coding RNA is filed under the name Hevea brasiliensis (rubber tree). Lineage: Eukaryota; Viridiplantae; Streptophyta; Magnoliopsida; Malpighiales; Euphorbiaceae. The record is from RNAcentral.